UUUGGUGGAGGCACCAAACUCAUCGUUGACUUGGGAGUGGUGCAGCCCACGCUGAGCGUCCUCCCUCCCUCCAGAGUGGAGCUGGAGCAGGGCAGUGCUACACUAGUGUGUGUGGCCAGUGGGGGCUUCCCCUCAGACUGGAAGCUUGGCUGGAAGGUCGGGGGCAGCAGCAGGUCUGGGGGGGUGUCAGAUAGCCUGGGGGUCCUGGGGAAAGAUGGCCACUACAGCUGGAGCAGCACCUUGACCCUCCCUGCAGACCAGUGGAGGAAGGCGCGCUCAGUGAGCUGUGAGGCCAGUAAGAAUGGCCAGACGCAGCCUGUCACUCAAACCCUGAAUCCUGACCAGUGUUCAGAGUAGAGAGGCUCCAGCAUGGAGGUACUGGAGGAUACAGAUCUCCUCUGACACGUCUGCUUUAUGUCUCUCUGUCUCAGGUGGCACUGCAGCUUUUGAUGAUUUACAUUAAUAAUAACAUGUCUGAUUCAUUAACGUUAUGCUUUCAGAUAUUUACCCAUUGCUUGUGUUGGUCACAUGUUGAACAUUUAAUAAAGAUAUAAAGAAUAAA
This is a non-coding RNA of Gadus morhua (Atlantic cod), 562 nucleotides long. Lineage: Eukaryota; Metazoa; Chordata; Actinopteri; Gadiformes; Gadidae. The record is from the annotation of a RefSeq genome assembly.